This 423-nucleotide ribosomal RNA is filed under the name uncultured bacterium. RNAcentral describes it as "bacterial SSU rRNA". It matches the Rfam family "Bacterial small subunit ribosomal RNA", at positions 355 to 775 of the family's 1533-position model. The record is from RNAcentral.
UAAGGAAUAUUGGUCAAUGGACGCAAGUCUGAACCAGCCAUGCCGCGUGAAGGAUGAAGGUCCUCUGGAUUGUAAACUUCUUUUAUUUGGGACGAAACGCCUGUUUUCUAACGGGUCUGACGGUACCAGAUGAAUAAGCACCGGCUAACUCCGUGCCAGCAGCCGCGGUAAUACGGAGGGUGCAAGCGUUAUCCGGAUUCACUGGGUUUAAAGGGUGCGUAGGCGGGUGUGAAAGUCAGUGGUGAAAUCUCAGAGCUUAACUCUGAAACUGCCAUUGAUACUUUGCAUCUUGAAUUUUCUGGAGGUUAGCGGAAUAUGUCAUGUAGCGGUGAAAUGCUUAGAUAUGACAUAGAACACCGAUUGCGAAGGCAGCUGACUACGGAUGAAUUGACGCUGAGGCACGAAAGCGUGGGGAUCAAACAG